AAAAAUUGAAAUGCUGGCUUGGCUAGUACAUUAGUGACAACUUUGUUCAGUGUUAAGUGGUGUUAUACCUGCCAAGUAACAGGUUUUCGUGGUUUCAUACUAAAGUUGUGGCUUCCAAUUAGUUUUAAGUUGGAUGCUUGACGUAGUAUCAAAGCUCAGGUUUUGUCAUUUUGUUCAUCCUGCCUUACUCAAGCGAGGUCGGAAUUAUUUCCUGGAUACUUUCAUUAGGUUCUACAAAAAAUUCGUAGAUAGUGUAAAGACCUACCUAAAGUUGAAUCAAAGUGAAUUUAUACUUCUAGCUAGCUUGCUGUUAAAACAAUGAAGAAAUCAGGAUGAGACUAACUAAUCACAUUUGCCAUUGCAUGAUUUUAUAUGAUUCUUGGUUGUCGUUUUUCUAUUUGUUGUUCUUAGCCCUUGCAUUCCAGGAAGAUGAACCGUUGCCACUAACUUGCAGGUUGCAACCAUUGCAUGAUUUUAAAUUAUUCUUGCUUGUCAUUUUUCUAUUUGUUGUUCUUACCCCUUGCAUUCCAGGAAGAUGAACCAUUGCCACGAACUUGCAGGUCGCAAAUUACGCAUGUAAAACAUACUUUGGAAAUCCCUUGAGACUGGAUUUGUCUUCUACAUCACCAAUUAUAUGAUUCAAGAUGAAGAAACUUCAAGCUAUAAUUUUGUUUAUGAUGUAAGAGAGAUGAUUAUAUGAUUCAAGAUGAAGAAACUUCAAGCUAUAAUUUUGUUUAUGAUGUAAGAGAGAUGAUUAUUUGUGUAUGUCAGUUGAUAAUUCAUUUGUCGAGUCAUAUGUAAACCCCGAUUCUUUAACUCGGCUAUGUUGUUUUCAAUA
This 838-nucleotide long non-coding RNA is filed under the name Gossypium barbadense (sea-island cotton). RNAcentral describes it as "long non-coding RNA (GBAR_LNC001674)". Lineage: Eukaryota; Viridiplantae; Streptophyta; Magnoliopsida; Malvales; Malvaceae. The record is from RNAcentral.